CAAAGGUAGCAUAAUCAUUAGAGGUUUAAUUGGAAUCUGGAAUGAAGGGUUGGACAAAGGAGAAACUGUCUUUAGAGUAAAAUUUGAAGUUUACUUUCGAGUGAAAAGGCUUGAAUAUAUCAAAGGGACGAUAAGACCCUAUAAAGCUUUAUAAAUAACUUAGAUUUAGCUGAUUUAAAAACUUAAAGGCCGAGUUUAUAUUAUUUUAUUUUGUUGGGGUGAUGCGAGUAUAAAUAUUGUUAACUGCUUGAAUGUACAUUCUGUAAUAAUAGAAUUAUAAGAAAUAUGAUCCUUUUUAAAGAUUAAAAGACUAAGUUACUUUAGGGAUAACAGCGUUAUUUUUCUUGAGAGUUCAUAUCGAAAGAGAAGAUUGCGACCUCGAUGUUGAAUUAAAAUAUCUAUAUAAUGCAGCCGUUAUAAAAGAGGGUCUGUUCGACCUUUAAAUUUUUACAUGAUUUG
RNAcentral lists this ribosomal RNA (459 nucleotides) under Xanthias lamarckii. RNAcentral's name for it is "partial 16S ribosomal RNA". It matches the Rfam family "Bacterial large subunit ribosomal RNA", at positions 1951 to 2607 of the family's 2925-position model. The record is from RNAcentral. Lineage: Eukaryota; Metazoa; Arthropoda; Malacostraca; Decapoda; Xanthidae.